UGAUCACUUGUGGUAGACAAAUAUUUUUGGCUUAGGCUAUGAAAGAGGCAGGAGGAAGGGUGUACAGAAAAGGAGGCUUAAUAACCAGAAAGAGUAUCAUGAGAAACCAGAAUUCAUAUGGAGAAAGCUAACAGAAAGAAAACAAAAAGGAAGGGUGGGGCAGAAUGUGUUCUUAGUACGUGUUUGUGAAUAUAAAUCUACAAAAGUGACAAGAAACCCUCAGCUUCUGCAAGUGCAAAUUCAUAUCAGGAAAUUCAAAUUCAUAUGAAAGAAGGCUUUGGUGUUGAAUAGCAUUCCUGGUGUUUCAAAGACAGCCCUGCCUGCUGCCCAAGACCAUCCCUUCCUACAAAACCAUGGACCUAGCUCAACAGAGGAGAGCAAAACGAUCUGUCAGUUUUGCCAAGAAAAUACUACUCUGACUGAUGGUCCUGCUACUUGAAAGCGGAAAAGGACAGCACAAAAGAAAACAUCCUCCUUGUCUGCCUUCAUCCACCUUGUAGUCUCAGUCCCUAAUUCCAUGUUCUGUCCCUCACCCAGCCUAUCUGACCUGCUUUCCUUAGAGAAGGUCUGAAGGUGAAUCCAGAGCUGGACUAGAUGCAACUGAUGAAGCAGCAUAAACUGUGUCCACAUCAUAAUGCUUCUGCUCCAUCCUCAGGAUUUAUUCAUUAAAUGACGGAAUUGUUCAGUUUGGAAAAGACCUUUAAAAUCAUGGAAUCCAACCAUAAUCUUCACAACUCACCUUGUAACCUGGAUCUUCUUUGAGACUGCCCAAGCUGGGGAAGGUGAAGAAAAGCAUCAUGGCCAGUUGGCCUGUAUUCUCUGUAAUGGUGAAGGACAAAAGACACUGGAAAAUGAUAAAACUAACUGGAAACUUUAUCUAAACCCCUACAUUUGUGAGCUCAGCCUGCUUUACACAAGCCCUUCCAUAGCACUGGCUCUCUGCUUUGGGCUGUUAAGAGUUUGAGAGCCCUGGAGAACCUUGAGGUUACUGCUGCCCCUAAAGCCAGCCUGUGAGAAGCAAGGGGCCUCUCAAAAUUAGGCAAGCCAAAGAAAGCUUGAAACUUGAUGACUGUAGCUUAUUGGACUCAGGACAGCAAAAAGGAGACUCAGCUCUGCCUGAAAAUAUCAUUACAGCUAUAGGUCCUGUUAUAGACUGAGAAAUCCAUAGCAUAGCAGAAGGCAAAGACAGAGGCACCAGGAAAGGCAGAAGGGACAAAACUAUUCAUAAACUGGUUAUUAGGCUUAUAUGUGUAACACUUUUAUCCUUCAGUUACUAUUUUGAUCUAUGCUAGCCUGGGAUAUGAUCUCCAGCCAUGGUGUGUGCAAGAAAGGAAAAUAAUCCUCAUUUGAUCUGGAAAUCACAUAUUCUUGACUCUGACUGCUGAAAGAAACAACUCCCAGACAGACCAGGUGUUUAAAUAGCUUGAAACUGGAAUUUACUGCCAGUUUGGCAGUUAAACUGAGCCACAGUUUAGCAGUUGGUAAACCUGGACAUGUGCCAGUGCCCUCGACUAUUAACCAUUCCCAUGUAAAAUAACUCUGGCCUUUGUGUGACAGCCACAGAAGGAUGGAGGACAGAUCCCACCACUGCUGCUUUCCUGCUGUCCAGGCCCACAUCUCCAGCCAGUCUCACAAGCAAGGGAACCUGGUGCUCUUCAACAGCCUGUCUGUGCAAGGAGCACUCUUCCUGAGCAGGCAGCCAAAAUUCAACAGAUGGGGUACUUGACAAAACUUCAAGGAUCUGUCUCCUCUUCCUUCUGUUCCCUACUUCAAAACAGCUUGUUUUACACAGCUUGCUGAACUCUCCCUUGUUCUGCCCUCCCCGAUUCUGGUGAAUAAAGCUGUGAGAGCCACAGAGAAAGAACAGCCACCCAUCAGCUUAUUUUCAAUUCUCCUGUCCCCUUCUCUUCUGAGUCAACAGGGGAAGCCUUCCCUGAGGCUUCCAAAACUAAAAUAGCAGUAACUAAAGCUGAAACACC
This is a long non-coding RNA of Passer domesticus (house sparrow), 1979 nucleotides long. RefSeq lists it as uncharacterized. Lineage: Eukaryota; Metazoa; Chordata; Aves; Passeriformes; Passeridae. The record is from RefSeq and is a predicted model, not a curated record. The transcript has 3 exons.